Megalobrama amblycephala (Wuchang bream) is the source of this 3100-nucleotide RNA transcript. It is a transcript of the gene named lysophosphatidylcholine acyltransferase 3, with no coding region annotated. The transcript has 14 exons. The record is from RefSeq and is a predicted model, not a curated record. NCBI's taxonomy places the organism in Eukaryota, Metazoa, Chordata, Actinopteri, Cypriniformes, Xenocyprididae.
ACUGUGAAUGGAGUGAGAGGUCGCGGACCCGCGGUAGGAGGAGUAGCAGGACGGAGUUAAGGAGAGCGCGAGCGCUCACGAGCGCCACACACUCACGGAAACCCAACCGCAGCUACUUCCGCCCACACUAAAGAUGGCGGCUCCCUUCUUGGAGAAAAUAGCCGAAUAUUUCGGUUCACCCGAACCGGCUAUUCGAUUGAUUUUGUCUGUCUUAUUAGGUUAUCCCUUUGCACUGGUGUACCGGUGGUUUUUCUUUCAUCAGUCUGCGACAGUUGUUCAUCUCUUCCACACAUUCUCCGGCCUGGCACUAGCCACGUUUAAUUUUGGGUCUCAGGUCUUUCACUCCUUCUUAUGUGUAGUCAUUCAGUUCUUGAUGCUGAGGCUGAUGGGAAGGACAGUCACAUGUGUUCUGAGUAGCUUUAUCUUUCAGAUGACAUAUCUGUUGACGGGUUAUUACUACACAGCUACAGACGAGUAUGAUAUCAAAUGGACCAUGCCUCACUGUGUCCUCACACUCAAACUCAUCGGUUUAGCGCUUGAUUACUAUGACGGUGGAAAAGAACAAUCUCAGAUUACCGCAGAGCAGAAGAAGUCUGCCCUCAGCUGUACGCCGUCUCUGUUGGAGGUCUUUGGAUUUUCAUACUUCUAUGGAGGCUUUCUGGUAGGGCCUCAAUUCACACUGCGAAACUACCAGAUGCUGGUGUCUCGAGAGAUGUCCGAUGUCCCCGGACAACCACCUAAUAGUGUGGUUCCAGCAAUGAAGCGAUUCGGUUUAGGUCUGAUCACCCUAUCAAUCUUUGCGAUAGGCGGGCCGCUCUACCCAGCUAGCUACUACUUAACAGAUGAGUUUGAGGCACAUGCAUUCUGGUACAAAUGUGUGUACAUCCUAGUGUGGGUGAAAAUAAACCUGUACAAGUACAUCAGCUGCUGGCUAAUCACGGAAGGUGUGUGUGUACUCUCCGGGUUGGGCUAUAAUGGGAAAAACGAAAAAGGGGAGCCCCAAUGGGAUGCCUGUGCCAAUGUGAGGGUGUGGCUAUUUGAGACCACGCCCCUCUUUACAGGCACCAUCAAUUCCUUCAACAUCAAUACAAAUGCUUGGGUGGCCAGGCAUGUGUUUAAGAGGUUGAAGUUUAUGGGUAACAAGUUGCUGUCGCAAAUGUUCACAUUGUUAUUCCUGGCUGUCUGGCACGGCUUGCAUUCAGGAUACCUCAUCUGCUUUUCCAUGGAGUUCAUCAUUGUCAAUGUAGAGAAACAGGCUCAGGCACUGGUGCGGGACAGUCCUUUGCUGACAUCCAUCGCUCAAAGUCAUCUGUAUCCACUAGUUUAUGUAGUACAGCAGUUAAUUCACUGGCUAUUUAUGGGAUACCCUCUGGUGCCAUUCUGCCUCUUCACUUACGACAAGUGGCUCAAGGUUUACUACUCUAUUUAUUUCUGUGGUCACAUCUUUUUCUUCGCUGCCUUUCUCGUUAUGCCAUACCUCCGCAAGGUGUUCGUGCCUCGAAAAAGAGGCAGUGAGAAAAAGGAGGAUUAAUUAAAAAGUGUGACACAUCUAUUAUUUCCUGUGUUUGCGGCAGCAGUGGAAGCUUAUGCUACUGCUUCAGAUCAUGUUUGUUUGCGGCCAUCUAAGUUUGACUGAAGUGAACUGUGACUUUUAAAGAACACCUGAAGAGGACAAAUUUUAAGGCCUUUAGUAAUAUAUUACUAUUUACAUACAGCACUGAUGUAUGUGUACAAAUGUUAGUGCGUUUGAAAGUUUUCUCAUUCUUUGGGAAUCGUGGUGGACUAUAAUGAAAAGGGUUAAAAGCUGCAGAAGUACAAACAUUUCUGAGGUUCAAUAUUCGUUAAAUAAGAUUUACUGAUGUUUGGUGGCUGAAAAUAAUUAUACUGUAUCUGCUCAUACCAUUGCACUCAUUACUCACAGGAAACAGGAAAUGAGAUCAUUACUAAUCAGAACUGGCUUUUGCUCUCGCUGAGGACGUGUGUGCACUUUUAGAGGGAAUGUAGAGCAUGAUUUUGAAAGAUGGAAACAAAUGAGACCUUUUUUUAUUUUCUUUUGCUAGCAACUCCCAACUUGCUUACCUUUAGAUUGAAAAGAAAAACACUGAAAUGUGAAACAAACAUAAGAGUGAGCAGUGACUGAACACUCACCAUUGCCUGGCAUUAUAAAUGAAUGUUUUUCAUUUUUAUAACCAUUUUUGUCUUGUGAUCAGACAACUUCUGAUGGGGGACCUUCUCAUUUUUUUUUUUUUUUUUAGGAAGGGGUUUUAUGAUAACUGCUUUUUUUUUAUAGGUUUUUUUUCUGACACACUUUCAUAAAAAGGCUCAUCAUUCUGUCAUCUCAUCCUCUCACUCCAUUUAACACUGUCAGUCCAUCCACCUGACCUUUUCUCAUUCACUCCAUUUUCUCCAGCAAAUCUUUGUCCAGUGUAUGAGCACAAGCAAAACAGAAACCACAGAAAUGCAUCAACACUACUCACCGGAAUCAUAUAUGAGGGUAAAUUUGUGUCAAUAUUAUUAAGAGCAGAGUAUUAUAUAUAUAUAUUUAAAUUAUAAGUAUUUAGUGAGCAAUGAACUAACUGUGCACAUAAAAAAAAACUGCUGUUAUUCAGAUUGAAAAAGUGUGUGUGUUUGUGUGUUUUUGUGUACAGUCCUUUAAAAAUGUCAUUGUGUUGCAUUGCACAGUGAAGUUAUUUUUAUACUUAAAAAAAUUUCAACAUUUCUCAUCGAACAUCAGGUCUUUUUUUCUUUGCCAUCUGCUCUCAGUAAUUCCUACGCAUAUUUGCCUUCAUAUCCGUUCUGUAUGACAUGACAUAUUGAAGACCCUUGGCACAAAUGUACAUCACUCUUCAGUGAGGACCGAUUUUUAAAACCUGCACCCAGAUUCAAUCCGAAGAAGCAGAGGCUCACUGUAGCAACGGAAUUGUUUUAUAAUAUUUAUACAUGUGGUUGCAAAUUUUAAUGAUGUAAAAAUUGUUUUUGGGAAACAACUACUACUGCCUUACUGCUACCAAAUGUACAAAAAAAAAAAAAAAAAAAAAAAUUACUUUUAAAUGAAAACGUUUUUUGUAAUAUUCAUUAAAAAUGCUGGAUUUUAACAAAA